Molecule: ribosomal RNA, 460 nt
Filed under: uncultured bacterium
Lineage: Bacteria
Description: partial 16S ribosomal RNA
Rfam family: Bacterial small subunit ribosomal RNA
Source: RNAcentral
CCUACGGGAUGCAGCAGUGAGGAAUAUUGGUCAAUGGACGAGAGUCUGAACCAGCCAAGUAGCGUGAAGGAUGACUGCCCUAUGGGUUGUAAACUUCUUUUAUAUGGGAAUAAAAUGUUCCACGUGUGGGAUUUUGUAUGUACCAUAUGAAUAAGGAUCGGCUAACUCCGUGCCAGCAGCCGCGGUAAUACGGAGGAUCCGAGCGUUAUCCGGAUUUAUUGGGUUUAAAGGGAGCGUAGGUGGAUUGUUAAGUCAGUUGUGAAAGUUUGCGGCUCAACCGUAAAAUUGCAGUUGAAACUGGCAGUCUUGAGUACAGUAGAGGUGGGCGGAAUUCGUGGUGUAGCGGUGAAAUGCUUAGAUAUCACGAAGAACUCCGAUUGGGAAGGCAGUUCACUGGACUGCAACUGACACUGAGGCUCGAAAGUGUGGGUAUCAAACAGGAUUAGAUACCCGAGUAGUC